Molecule: long non-coding RNA, 2550 nt
Organism: Meriones unguiculatus (Mongolian gerbil)
Lineage: Eukaryota; Metazoa; Chordata; Mammalia; Rodentia; Muridae
Exons: 3
Source: RefSeq, a predicted model, not a curated record
UGAACCGGGUGAACCAUGGCUGGGAGUGCAGGCUGGAAGGAAACAGGCUCUUCCCCCACACCAGCACAGUAUCUGUGGUUUUGGCCUCAGGUGGCCAAGAGCUCAUUAGUGGUCUAGGCUUGGAAGAAGUAGGUUCAGAAGUCUGGGGCUGACAGGGAGGCAGGGACAUGAUGGAGGAAAGGACAUGGUGAGAGGUAAGGAGUAUAACACAGACAUGACUUGGUCCUCCCUACUUCCAAUCUAGUCAUCUGGAGGACUCACCUAACCUCUCCGUGCCUCACUUUUCCUCACCCGGAAGAUGGGAACAACAGCAAGGCCUCACAGAGUUGGGAACACUUCAAGUAAUGGACCCAGGGGAAGAAUUCCUAUCUGCUCACCGGUCAUCUUAGUAACAAGCUAGGUUUAGAGAAGACUCAGACCUCAUUUGGAUCUUGGGCCAGUGAUGGUACCUCUCUGAGCCUGGGCUUCCUCAUCCUCUCAUUGCAGCUCAGUGCUGGAGAUAGUGAAAAAGGCUGGCAGUCUCCCAGAAUGCUUCACUAACAGGGGCAGUAACAGACAUGAAAUGUGAAAAGUGACAGGCUAGGGCUGUGGCUAGUACAAUACUUGCCUAGCAUGCAGGAAGCCCGGGUUUCAUCCCCAGCACUACUGAAGAGGACGCAGCAGCAGCACACACCUGGAAUCCCAUUUGGGAGGUGGAGGCAGGAGAUUCAGGAGUCAUCCUCAGCUACAUAAGUUUGAAGCCAGCCUGGGCUACAUGAGACCCUGCUUCAAAAAAGAAAAAGUGGGAAGCAGGGUGGCUUGAUUGUUGAGCUGUGGGCAAGGGGCCCCCGAUCUUUGCUGCGAGCACCUAUCUCAGGCCUGCUUCCCUGUCUUGACAACUUGGUGGCCAACUUCCCGGUUGCAGAGGUUCUGUUGCUUUGGAAGAAGAGGGAGUGGAUACUGAGGGGCAGCCAGCACUCCCCCCUGCCACAGUGGACGUUUGGAAGAGAUGAGGCAAGAAACAGGAGUAAGGCUCCUUUCUUGGUCCCAGCUUGCACACAUUGGGUGAAAGUGCUGCUCUCUGAGGCAGGAGAAGAGAGCUAUCUCUUUCUAACUUCACUAGCUACUGAUAUGGUCUUUGUAUGUGGUAGAGAGAGUAGGGACCAGGGCCUUAAGAACGAAGGCCAAGAUAUAAACCAGUUUUAGCCCAUCAGGAAGACAUGGUGACCCCAAACUCACCUUGGAGACAUGGGUGUGAGUGGAUCUGGUACUGUGCACCCUGUAACAGGUAUGGUUCACAUCUCUAGGAAGAAAGCAAGAGCCUCUUGUCUCCCUUUGCUAAGCCUUGGCUGGCAUGACAGUGCCUGGGAAGGCAGCCUGUGUCUGGCUGGGACCUGGAAGAUGUUGGCUUGGGCUUAGAUUCCAGCUGUGCUGUAUGACACUGGACAAGCUGCUUAAUAUCUCUGAGCCUCAGGCUUCCUGUGUGACAUGGCUUUAUGAUGAGGAUGUAACUGUAGGAUGCCCCAUGUGGGAGCCUGGCCAAGGCCUCCCAUUCAGUGAGUACACAAGAAGAAACUGGCUUCCUGUAGAGCAGCAGUUCUCAACCGCUUUGGGAGACCCCUUUGGGAGUCAAAUGACCCUUUCAUAGGAGUCACCUAAGACCAUUUGAUUUAUGACAGAAGCAAAAUUGCAAUUAUGAAGUCGCAACAAAAAUAAUUUUAUGUUUGGGGGGGUCACCACAAUGUGAGGAAGCUUAUUAAGGAAGCUUAUUGCAGUGUUAGGAAGGUGGAGAACCAGUGCUAACGAAAGUCUGCCCUGUUGUCCCAUAAUGGUGUGAAGACAGUCAUGCCAGCCACCCCACCCCCACCCCCCAGUGCAAGGCUGGCUGGAGAGGAGUUGGUUACACCAAUGGUCCCAAGCCAUCGGCUCUACGUGGUGACAAAGGAGUUGCUCCAAAUGAAGAUGUCCUUCAGACAGACAGACCUCUGUCCCAGCAAGCUAGGUCUGGAGUUCCCACAAAACCCAGUACCACAGAGAUCCAUGGAGGAAGCCAGACUGCUGGGGCUCAAAUCCUUAUUAUGUUCUUUUUCUAUCCUUCUGCUUGUUGGAGGUCGCGAGAUGCACGUCACUCGGGGUUGUUAGGAGGAUGAAAUGAGCUCAGAGGAUUGGAUAUGUGAAAAACAUGUUGAUACAGUAGCUGAAGGUGUGGGGGACUCCUGACACUCUGGCAUUUGAGACAAAAACAAACAAAAUAAAAACCCAAUCCUUGAGCACUACUCAUGAGCCUAGCCUCACACCUUCCAUCACGGGCCUGUCUAGCUGGCUACAGAGAGCAGUCCCCUCAGACAGACAGACAGAUACAUCUAUACUCUUUGCCAUGAGUUCAGUGCCAGCCUGGGCUACAUAGUGAGCUUCAGAGCAGCCCAGGCUACAUGAGAUCCUGUCUAAAAGCCAAAGGCAGAGUCUGGGUGAUAGUCUGGUGGGUAAAGCCUGCCUUGCAACCAUAAGCUUGCUUGCUUAUUCUGUGUAUGGUUUUUGAAGACUAAUAAGAUUUUCUUACUAAUUAAAGGA